This 517-nucleotide ribosomal RNA is filed under the name uncultured bacterium. Its description in RNAcentral is "bacterial SSU rRNA". It matches the Rfam family "Bacterial small subunit ribosomal RNA", at positions 36 to 507 of the family's 1533-position model. The record is from RNAcentral.
CUGGCGGCGUGCCUAAUACAUGCAAGUCGAACGCAUUGUGGUUGAAAUGAUAUGAAGAACUUGUUCAGAUUUGAUUUUAAACAUUGCAAUGAGUGGCGAACGGGUGAGUAACACGUGGGAAACCUACCUCUUAGCAGGGGAUAACAUUUGGAAACAAAUGCUAAUACCGUAUAAUAAUUAAAACCGCAUGGUUUUAGUUUAAAGGAUGGUCUUGCUAUCACUAAGAGAUGGUCCCGCGGUGUAUUAGUUAGUUGGUGAGGUAAUGGCUCACCAAGACAAUGAUACAUAGCCGAGUUGAGAGACUGACCGGCCACAAUGGGACUGAGACACGGCCCAUACUCCUACGGGAGGCAGCAGUAGGGAAUCUUCCACAAUGGACGAAGGUCUGAUGGAGCAACGCCGCGUGUGUGAUGAAGGGUUUCGGCUCGUAAAACACUGUUGUAAGAGAAGAAUGACAUUGAGAGUAACUGUUCAAUGUGUGACGGUAUCUUACCAGAAAGGAACGGCUAAAUACGUG